This 301-nucleotide ribosomal RNA is filed under the name uncultured bacterium. Its description in RNAcentral is "partial 16S ribosomal RNA". It matches the Rfam family "Bacterial small subunit ribosomal RNA", at positions 509 to 809 of the family's 1533-position model. The record is from RNAcentral.
CAGUAGCCGCGGGAAUACGUAGGUGGCGAGCGUUGUCCGGAUUUAUUGGGCGUAAAGGGAGUGUAGGCGGUCUCUUAAGUCUGAUGUGAAAGCCCACGGCUCAACCGUGGAGGGUCAUUGGAAACUGGGAGACUUGAGUGCAGAAGAGGAGAGCGGAAUUCCAUGUGUAGCGGUGAAAUGCGUAGAUAUAUGGAGGAACACCAGUGGCGAAGGCGGCUCUCUGGUCUGUAACUGACGCUGAGGCUCGAAAGCGUGGGGAGCAAACAGGAUUAGAUACCCCAGUAGUCCCUGUCUCUUAUAA